UUUUUUUUUUUUAAUUUGCUAAGAUGUAUUUUAUGCCUAUCACAUGAUCUAACUUGAAUGUUUUGUGUUAAGCUUGAGAAAAUGGGUAUUCUGCUCAUGUUGAAUGGUCUACAUUACACCCAAUUAAUUGAAAGUGUUGCUAAGUUCAGCUGGGUGCCUGCUGAAUUGGUCGAUUUCUGAGAAAGGGGUGUGGAAGUCUAUAACUGUCAUAGUGGUUUCAUCUAUAAACCUUGUAGUUCUAUUAAUUUUUGGCUCACAGAGUUAUGAUGCUAUGCUGUUGUUAGGGGCAUACACGAUAAGAAUUGUUACAUCUUCUUGAAGAAUGACCCCUUUCUCACCGUGUAAUGCCUUUCUUUAUGCUGAUAACUUUCCUUACUUUGGAGUCUGCUCUGUCUGAAUUAAUACAGCUACUCCUGCUUUCUUUCGAAUAGUGUUAGUGCAUUUUUCUCCAUCCAUUGACUUCCAAUCUGUAUGUGUCCUUAUAUUUAAAGUGGGUUUCUGGGUGUUACGCUUUAUGUUGACAAAUUGAACUCCAAUAAAAAAAUAAAAUAAUGAAAAAAUGAAAAAAAAUAAAUUCCAUUAAAGUGACUAAUUUGACAGCAUAUUUCACUGCUGUAUAACUGAUAAAUAAUUUGAUGUAGUAAUAGAUGCUCCACCAAUAAUUGUUGAAUAAUAAAGAAAUUAGUGAUCAAGGUGAAAAAAAUAAAGUGGGUUUCUUAUAGGCAAUAUGAAGUUGGAAGACUUGAUCUAAUUUUUAAAACUUCAAAGACAGAGGUAUCAGAAAUAUCUAGGAAGUAAUAGAAGAGAGCUGAGUACUCUCACUUUUGAGUGCUCCUGGUGGGCAGGCAGUGAGUCCUUAAAUUGCUUCUGGCGCUAUUCAAAUGGCCUGUACUGUUAUUGCCAUUUGAAGACAACGUGCACACAUUACAACUAUCCAGGAUUUCAUCAUCAUCAGUAGUACCUUAUUCGCACUGUGUACAUGACUCAGCUCUGGGCUGAAUACAGAGAGGGAACUUGCAAGUGGAUAUAAUGUAUACAAAGGGGACAAAGGGAUAGAGGAAGCCCAGGUGCAUCACAAGGGUCACUGAGGUGGAUAUGCCAUGACACACACAAUACACCAAAAUAUACUCCAGACAGACUUCAGAGUUGCAGGAAUGGGAACUAGCUGUGCUUUCAUUUACUUUUCUGUCAAAAGAAAAGCCAUAUUUAGGUCAGUCAAAGUGAAGUUCUAAGGAGAACUGUGUCUAAUUUAGGAAAUACCACCAUUUCAGAUCAUAACCUUGAUGACUGUAAGACCUCUUCUACUUAUAAGGAUCUGCUUCUCUUUCCUUUUAAGGGACACGAAAUGAGAGAAGGAUCUAUAAGAGAGACAUUUGGAAUGUAGGAGGAUAAAGGCAAGGCCAACUAGUGGCCAGGCUACCUCCAGAUGAUUCCUCCAGUACCAUCUGUAACCAUCCUCAUGCACAAAGGAGGCAUGUGUUUUGGGCGGAUAAAGCACUCUCCUCGGAUAACAAAGUCUUGUUCUGUGGGGUCCCUUUAGGAAACUCUGAAGAGGGUCUUCCUUCUGGUACCACACUCUUUCAACAAGCAACCAAAAAUUUAUCAGACUGAAUUUUUAAAAAAUUCCAUUCAAGUGAAUUCCACUCAAUUCUUACCCACACAUUAUCUUCAUUGGGCACAUGUUCCCAGGUUUCCCAGAGAUUCAUGGCAAUUAUGAUGGUUUUACUUCUAUGGGGGCUUGCAUUCCCUUGUUAAUAUUCAUUUCAAAAAGUAAUUUAUUUCCCUGCUCUAGGGAUUUGUGUACUGGCCACAUGCAUACUAUUUAGUAUCUUACAUAAAAAUGUCUUUUGCAAUAAAGAUUUCAAGAAAUUAUCGCCUAUUAUAUCUUGUAUGUUUAAUUACAAACUUGAUGAUAGAUUAUUGAUUCUUUUCAGUGGUGUAUUAAUGAUUUAAAUUCUUUUUCUAGUCUAAUAACUCCAAAUAAUGAUUCCCCCUGUUACACUCUCAUAUUCUAAAGUGCAUAUUCUUAAGUCAGAGGAUUGUUUCCAACAGCGAGCAUGAAAAUCAAGAUGCAAAGUACAGAGGACACAUUCAGGUGUGGUUAGAAAAAUUAUGAAAAAAAAAAAGGAAAAAAAUGAUGAAGAUGGUCUUGGGGAAAAUGAAAAACCUUUUCUUCUGUUUCCCCAACCUCCUACCUUCUGCUACAUUUCAAGGUAAGGUGACAGCUCUGAAUAAACAGCGCAAACUGUAUUUUCCCCAUCAUGUGAAAAGACCACAAGCAUUAAAGAGGAUGUCUUUAUCAAAAUAUCUGUAAUUGUGACCUUCAGAGAAACAGAACAAGAAGUACUGGUGAAUUUCUUGUUUUUUUCAUGGGUAUCCCUCCUCCCUUCCUUUCAUUUCCUUCAUAUCUAAGACUUCUUCCUGAAGCAAAAACAUAGUUUCUAUUACCAAAAAAAGUUGAAAAACAGAAUUUAAUCCAUGUCCAUCCACUGACUUCUCUCUUCUGUGAUGGUUGGUCUUCCCUGCUCUAAGAAGAGACAUUUUGUUUGCUGGACCUGAAUAUUAUCCUAGAGAGAGAGAGAGAAAAAAAAAAGCAAAUCUGAACCAUAUUUUUCAAACCUGAUUGGGGUCAUUCUCCUGUCAAAGGCCACAAAUGACUCCUACACAACUCUGCUUUCUCAUGUGAGAGAAGGGAAUGAAAUUGAACAGUCGUUACAGAGUCAUACAGUCAGAGGGCUGAAAGAAACUAUAGGCCCCAUCGCCAUAUUCAAUGCUUGGAUCUUUUCUAUGGUACCCACAACAUCGAGAUUUCACGGUGCUAAUCAAUUUACUCUCUUUCCCCUCCGGGUUCUGAACCUGUUGAGAAAUAAAAGAAGUGUGAUUUUGUGACUUAGGGUAAGAAAUAUAUAUCUGGUCUUCAUCCCUAUUUCUGGUAUAGAGUUUCUAAAGC
This 2950-nucleotide long non-coding RNA is filed under the name Canis lupus familiaris (dog). RNAcentral's name for it is "lncRNA (ENSCAFG00000053727.1, ENSCAFG00805004510.1, ENSCAFG00845001960.1)". Lineage: Eukaryota; Metazoa; Chordata; Mammalia; Carnivora; Canidae. The record is from RNAcentral.